AUUGAACGCUGGCGGCAUGCUUUACACAUGCAAGUCGGACGGCAGCGCGGGCUUCGGCCUGGCGGCGAGUGGCGAACGGGUGAGUAAUGCAUCGGAACGUGCCCAGUAGUGGGGGAUAGCCCGGCGAAAGCCGGAUUAAUACCGCAUACGACCUGAGGGUGAAAGCGGGGGACCGAAAGGCCUCGCGCUAUUGGAGCGGCCGAUGUCGGAUUAGCUAGUUGGUGGGGUAAAGGCUUACCAAGGCGACGAUCCGUAGCUGGCCUGAGAGGACGACCAGCCACACUGGGACUGAGACACGGCCCAGACUCCUACGGGAGGCAGCAGUGGGGAAUUUUGGACAAUGGGGGCAACCCUGAUCCAGCCAUGCCGCGUGCGGGAAGAAGGCCUUCGGGUUGUAAACCGCUUUUGUUCGGGAAGAAAUCCUCUGGGCUAAUACCCCGGGGGGAUGACGGUACCGGAAGAAUAAGCACCGGCUAACUACGUG
RNAcentral lists this ribosomal RNA (484 nucleotides) under uncultured bacterium. RNAcentral's name for it is "partial 16S ribosomal RNA". It matches the Rfam family "Bacterial small subunit ribosomal RNA", at positions 28 to 507 of the family's 1533-position model. The record is from RNAcentral.